Cydia fagiglandana is the source of this 2859-nucleotide long non-coding RNA. RefSeq lists it as uncharacterized. NCBI's taxonomy places the organism in Eukaryota, Metazoa, Arthropoda, Insecta, Lepidoptera, Tortricidae. The transcript has 2 exons. The record is from RefSeq and is a predicted model, not a curated record.
AUUCCUUAGAGCGUUCGCCGGUUUUGCGAAAUAACACUCGAUAGAUGGCGCUGGCGCUUGAUACGCGAGCGCCGGCAAAGCUAUGCGCGUUUCAACGCAGACGAGAAUAAUAUUGAUACUUUUCAAUUUAAUUUGCAAGUAAAUUUAUUUUAACGUUAUAUUGGCACUCUUUUAUAAGCAUGAUAGUAGUGAAUAGAGUGUAUGUGUUGAGAAAAUAUAUAACCAACGACGAAUAAAUAAUAAUGAUUGUUUACCUAUGUCAUGGAAUUAUUGCGACAAGUUCAUCCAUGAAGUCAAGGAACUAUUCAAGUCAGUUCACCAAGGAAGUUGAAUAAUUAAAUGUUUGAAAGAUAAGAUUAUACUAAAUUAUAGUAUAUAUACAUACGGUGUUGCUUAUUUCGUCGAAAUUGAAAUUUUCUAUGUCUCACCCCCUUAAAUUGUUCUCUUUCACUAAAAAACAAAUGUGUAUUUUUUUCAGAAUUUUCAAUUAUGUUUUAGGGGUCGCUACCGAAUUUUGAAAAUUUGCACCCUCCAUACAAGAUUAUUUUUUUGUCUUUUUUCUUGUUUUUUUUUAUAUGAAUCAAUGGGUCAGGAUCAGGAAAAUAAUACCACUAUUUUUUUAAAGCUUAUUAUGCGUGUUUUAGGCGUUCUAAAUAUUCAUUCAGCAGUGCGCACUCCUAAAAUAGGAAUAAAAAUUAAAAUAUAUUGACUAUACCUAGUAUUGAAUUACAUGUAAAUAGCUUUCAUAUACUUUGACUCACUGUCUCACUAAUUAAACUCACAACUUGAUCUUGAUAUCUGUAUCAUUUAAGCCACUAGGCCAAGUUUGGUAUCGUUUUCGUAUAAAUCGGGGGUGCCGAAUUCAUUGUCAUCAUCAUCAUCAUCAUCAUCAUCAGGUGUCAUCAUAAUGACACCAUUCCGAAGUAAAAACACAUAAAAUAUGAAGAAAAAAAAUACUUUUUAUAAUUCCUCUUCACACUUAAACUGCUGAACCAAUUUAGUUAAACCCACAUUAUAGACGGGUCUAACGCGGGUAUGUGAGUUAAUAUGUGUUCAAAACGCGAAAGUUUAAAAUAUUCAAUUUAGUUCAUAUUUGGUAGGUACAGAGAUAGUUUGAGUCCCAGGGAAUAACAUAGCAAACUUUUAAUCUCAAAAAUUAUCCCUUAAGGAUGUGAAAAGGGAGGAAGCAAAUGAAGCUUUAUUUGUAAGUAUAUAAAAUAAAAUAAUAUUAAUAAUCUAUCAACCGCAUCUAGAUCGAUAGUGCUCGUCAAGGCAAAUCUAUUGAGCCCAAAUACGAUGGAGUUAUGAUGAGUAGAUUCGGAGUUCUGGUGACCAACUCCUGUCUCCAUCAUGAGAACCUGGGCUUCAUCUAGAUCGAUGGUGCUUGUCGGGGCAAAUCUAUUGAUCCCAAACACGAUGGAGUUAUAAUGAGUAGAUUAGGACUUCUGGCGACCAACUCCUAACUCCAUCUCAUUAAUGGAGUCAGGAGUUGGUCACCAGAAGGGGCUCGUGACUCUGGACAUCAUCUAGAUAGAUGGUGCUCGUCAGGGCAAAUCUAAUGAGCCCAAACACCAUGGAGUUAUAAUGAGUAGAUGAGGAUUUCUGGUGACCAACUCCUGACUCCAUCAUGAGAACCUGGACUUCAUCUAGAUCAAUGGUGCUCGUCGGGGCAAAUCUAUUGAGCCCAAACACGAUGGACUUAUGAUGAGUAGAUUAGGACUUCUGGUGACCAUCUCAUCAUGGAGUCAGGAGUUGGUCACCAGAAGGGUCUCAUGACCCUGGACCUCAUCUAGAUAGAUGAUGCUCGUCCGGGCAAAUCUAAUGAACCCAAACACGAUGGAGUGAUAAUAAGUAGAUUAGGAGUUCUGGUGACCAACUCCUGAGUCCAUCAUGAGAACCUGGACCUCAUCUAGAUCCGUGGUGUUCGUCAAGGCAAAUCCAUGGAGCCCAAACACGAUGGAGUUAAGAUGAGUAGAUUAGGAGUUCGGUGGCCAAUUCCUGACUCCAUCAAGAGAACCUGGACAUCAUCCAGGUCGUCCGGGUAUAAUUAAAAUGCAAACCCUAACCAGAAUUCAAGUAACACUGAAAAUCUAUCACAUAAGCGAGAGUCGGUUGUUAAAAUUUAAUAUGGUGUGAAAAAUGUACUCUCCCUUGGAUCAAGAUUUUCUAAUCAUAGUAUACAACAGUUCUCGGAACUCGCUCAAUGUUUACGAAGCAAUGAGCGCCUGACGAUCGAGCGCAGGUCCGUUCCCUAAGCGCGCUCGGCGGAGAAUGAGCGCGCGGCGUCGCUGCAGCGUGAUUUAUAGGUCUUUUAAAAAAAUAUAUAUUUACGGCAAGGUAGGUCCUAUAGUUAUGAUUUUUUUUUAAUGAGUAAACAUAAAGUUACAGUUUGUUAAAAUAUUUUUUUUGUGGCAAAAUAUAAGUCCAAUUAGCGAUAAAAAAAUGUAAUGUAACCCUGUUUUCACCAAAAAAAUUAAGAAAACUCGGAAGGUGUUUUAUCAUGUUUUUUAAAUGAAAGUUCGAUUUUCAAGCAUGUAAGCCCCUCGUACAACAUAUGAUGAGUUGAAUUGUAAUCAUUCAUAUACCAAAUAAUUCUUUUUUACUGCAAAAUUGAGAGCCGAAACGACCCUUCUCACUGCAAAUUUUGAAAAAGACUUCUAAGAAAACUCAUUUAUUUUAGGUUCAAAAAGAGAAAAUGAAAAUUAGAACAUUUGCAGCCCCUAGUUUAAGAAAUGAUUAUUUAAGUACGUUAUCAGUUUUUGAAUAAAUACUAAUAGUUACGUCGUAAUCUUGAAUGAAAAAGGAAGCAUUUUGCAAAAUACGCUCGUCUGUAGGAGUAAGGACUCUUAACGCUACAAA